This 729-nucleotide long non-coding RNA is filed under the name Spirodela polyrhiza (greater duckweed). RNAcentral describes it as "long non-coding RNA (SPOL_LNC002442)". Lineage: Eukaryota; Viridiplantae; Streptophyta; Magnoliopsida; Alismatales; Araceae. The record is from RNAcentral.
ACUUACAUUUCAUUAAUCUAUGAAGGCGUAUGUGUGAUAAACUUCCCUUCAUUAUAAUAUGUGGCCUAAACAAAAAUUCUCAUCCUCAUUUUUCAAUAUGUUUAAUUCAAUUCAUUAAAUAAUGGAGGUUAGGGAGCAAAGGGAUUUUCUAAGUUUGAUCAUAAAGUGAUUUCCAUUAGAAUUUAUUCAUCCUUUUUGUAUCUUAUGGAUCACAUUAGAAUUUGUUUCUAAGUUCGAUCAUGAAAGUUGUUUGGAAUUUAGAUGAUAGCACAUAACACCAAGUGCGGAGGUGAACUAAUUUUGACUCUAAUUAUGCUCGUUGUUCUACUUAAGAAUGCAAGUCAGACAUUUCUUUCACACAAGUUUUUUGUGUUUUAGUCUAUUUUACGUAUUUCACCUUCCAAAGAUUAUGGUCUUUGGUUGUAGUAAAUUAACACUUCAACCCUUUCACUAGAUUCAACAACUGCAGCCAACUCAACAUUUCACCUGGAUAUUCACUUUUACAUUUAUGGCUCUAGGAGGACAGCUAGUAGAUGCCCAUGUCUCUCUUUUGGAUUAACAUCUUCAAGGGGGCCAAGUAGAGAGAAUUAGCACUACGUUCAAUUGAAUGAUUAUCAUUCAAAAUUAUUUCAACAAUAUAAGUGAGUUACUAUUCAAUGAGAUUUAACUCCAAACUUCACAAAGGUUUGAUGCUUCAGAUUUCUCAUUACGAAACCAUUUGCAUGGGGG